AGUGAACGCUGGCGGCAGGCCUAACACAUGCAAGUCGAACGGCAGCACAGUAAGUGUUUGCUCUUACGGGUGGCGGGUGGCGGAUGGGUGAGGAAUACAUCGGAAUCUACUUUUUCGUGGGGGACUACGUAGGGCAACUUACGCUAAUACCGCAUACGACGUACGGGUGAAAUCAGGGGAUCUUCGGACCUUGCGCGAUUGAAAGAGCCGUUGUCGGAUUAGCUAGUCGGCGGGGUAAAGGCCCACCACGGCGACGAUCCGUAGCUGGUCUGAGAGGAUGAUCCGCCACACUGGAACUGAGACACGGUCCAGACUCCUACGGGAGGCAGCAGUGGGGAAUAUUGGACACUGGGCGCAAGCCUGAUCCAGCCAUACCGCGUGGGUGAAGAAGGCCUUCGGGUUGUAAAGCCCUUUUGUUGGGAAAGAAAAGCAGCAGGUUAAUACCCCGCUGUUCUGACGGUACCCAAAGAAUAAGCACCGGCUAACUUCGUG
RNAcentral lists this ribosomal RNA (492 nucleotides) under uncultured bacterium. RNAcentral's name for it is "partial 16S ribosomal RNA". It matches the Rfam family "Bacterial small subunit ribosomal RNA", at positions 29 to 507 of the family's 1533-position model. The record is from RNAcentral.